AAAAGGGUGCAGGGCCCAACAUCAGAAGGCCCACGGUGGCAUUAGUUGAGUCAGACCAGAGAGGGGGGUGUCAAAGAAAUUCCAGGGGUACAUGGAAGUAAGGCCUUUGAGCCUGGUCAGAGGCCCACACGCUGGGAGAAAAGGGGAAUGAAUCAAAACCAAUCCCUCAUUUCAAUUUCACUACGAACCAAACCUUAACUCAUACCUCUCUCUCUCUCUCUCUCUCUCUCUCUCUCUCUCUCUCUCUUUUCGUACCGAAAAUCGCUCCACCACACCGGAGGCAGUGGAGUAGCGUAGAAAUGGCCAUAGCCAUUAUCAUCAAAACCACCUUAUUCUUAUAUCCCUACUUAUUAUCUUGAUUUCAUCUAAUUAUCAAAGAUACUCUUUAUCCCUCAUGAUUUUAUCAAGAACCCUAAAAAUCAAAACAAUAAUUAACUGGUGUUAGGGAGGUAUCAGAGCCUAAAACUUUAGGACUUUGAUUCCCCACAUUUGAAACUACAUUAUGGUAACCAACUUGGGGCCAAAGAAGAUGGAUUAGAGGGAGCUACCAACCUACAAGGUCGAUGUGUACCCUGGAAUAUGUUGAAGGUUGAAGAAGACAAUAAGAACAUAGAUGUGUAUCCAGGGUUGUCUUGGGCUUAUCUUGAAGAUGAUGGCAUGAAGGUUCUUUUGGUAUGAGACUUGAACAUGAGCAAAACAUGGCAUGAUGCACCAUAAUAAAGAUUGGUGACUUAGAGAUCAAAUUGGGAACCAUGAAGAUGAAGAAGGGAAUAGGUUCAGGGUUGAGUUAACUUUGGGCAACUAUUUGACCAAAAAGUCAACAGUUGAUCUAAAGUCAACCUUAGGUCAAAAAUUGGGUUUUCUUUGUGUAAUCUGAAUUAUGCAUUUUGUAAUGUAAUAUUUUGAUGUUUUGAAUGUAGGAUUCACCAUUAUAUGUAACUUAUGACUUAUGCCUUAAGUAAAAUAGAACUUCUCCCUCCA
This is a long non-coding RNA of Lathyrus oleraceus (garden pea), 981 nucleotides long. RefSeq lists it as uncharacterized. The record is from RefSeq and is a predicted model, not a curated record. The transcript is spliced from 2 exons. NCBI's taxonomy places the organism in Eukaryota, Viridiplantae, Streptophyta, Magnoliopsida, Fabales, Fabaceae.